Non-coding RNA from Termitomyces sp. Mi166#008, 94 nucleotides. The record is from the annotation of a GenBank genome assembly. Lineage: Eukaryota; Fungi; Basidiomycota; Agaricomycetes; Agaricales; Lyophyllaceae.
UCGGAUAUGGUGUAACGGCUAACAUUGCCGCCUUUCAUUGUCUAUAAUAUAGGCUUGAACGCGGCAGCUCGGGGUUCGAUUCCCCGUAUCCGAA